This is a non-coding RNA of Triticum urartu, 115 nucleotides long. The record is from Rfam. NCBI's taxonomy places the organism in Eukaryota, Viridiplantae, Streptophyta, Magnoliopsida, Poales, Poaceae.
UUAUUACUCCCUUCGUUCGGAAUUAUUUGUCGCAGAAAUGAAUGUAUCUAGACGUAUUUUAGUUCUAGAUACAUACAUAUUCGAGACAAGUAAUUCCAAACGAAGGAAGUAUCCA